RNAcentral lists this ribosomal RNA (433 nucleotides) under uncultured bacterium. RNAcentral's name for it is "partial 16S ribosomal RNA". It matches the Rfam family "Bacterial small subunit ribosomal RNA", at positions 29 to 507 of the family's 1533-position model. The record is from RNAcentral.
AACGAACGCUGGCGGCAUGCCUAGCACAUGCAAGUCGAACGAGACCUUCGGGUCUAGUGGCGCACGGGUGCGUAACGCGUGGGAACCUGCCCUUAGGUUCGGAAUAACUCCCCGAAAGGGGUGCUAAUACCGGAUAAUGUCUUCGGACCAAAGAUUUAUCGCCUUUGGAUGGGCCCGCGUUGGAUUAGCUAGUUGGUAGGGUAAAAGCCUAUCAAGGCGACGAUCCAUAGCUGGUCUGAGAGGAUGAUCAGCCACACUGGGACUGAGACACGGCCCAGACUCCUACGGGAGGCAGCAGUGGGGAAUAUUGGACAAUGGGCGAAAGCCUGAUCCAGCAAUGCCGCGUGAGUGAUGAAGGCCUUAGGGUUGUAAAGCUCUUUUACCCGGGAUGAUAAUGACAGUACCGGGAGAAUAAGCUCCGGCUAACUCCGUG